CCGUAUCGUCUAAAAUUUUUCGUGGACGUCGAAUUCAGCAAAGGAACAAUAGUCACCGCCCCGCCAUGACCAGAUUACAUUUUUUUGGAGUUUACCGCCGUAUAAUUGGGAAUCCGCGCGAGUCCUAAAUUUUCGUGUGCUAUAUCCCACGCCAUCCGCCUUGGCCCCGGCCUUUGAACCCGGAUCGUCUAAAAUUUUUC
RNAcentral lists this long non-coding RNA (200 nucleotides) under Nicotiana benthamiana. RNAcentral describes it as "long non-coding RNA (NBEN_LNC001192)". Lineage: Eukaryota; Viridiplantae; Streptophyta; Magnoliopsida; Solanales; Solanaceae. The record is from RNAcentral.